GCUUUACUUAGCGGCGGACGGGUGAGUAACACGUGGGCAACCUACCCUAUGGAGGGGAAUAACAGGGAGAAAUCUUUGCUAAUACCGCAUAGAUCCGAAGUUUUGCAUAAAGCUUUGGAGAAAGGAGAAAUCCGCCAUAGGAUGGGCCCGCGUCCCAUUAGCUAGUUGGUGAGAUAACAGCCCACCAAGGCGACGAUGGGUAGCCGACCUGAGAGGGUGAACGGCCACAUUGGAACUGAGACACGGUCCAGACUCCUACGGGAGGCAGCAGUGGGGAAUAUUGCACAAUGGGGGGAACCCUGAUGCAGCAACGCCGCGUGAGCGAUGAAGGUCUUCGGAUUGUAAAGCUCUGUCUUCGCUGACGAUAAUGACGGUAAGCGAGGAGGAAGCCACGGCUAACUACGUGCCAGCAGCCGCGGUAAUACGUAGGUGGCGAGCGUUGUCCGGAAUUACUGGGCGUAAAGGGUGCGUAGGCGGUUUUUUAAGUGGGAUGUGAAAUCCUGAGGCUUAACUUCAGAAUUGCAUUCCAAACUGGAAGGCUAGAGUACAGGAGAGGAAAGCGGAAUUCCCAGUGUAGCGGUGAAAUGCGUAGAGAUUGGGAGGAACACCAGUGGCGAAGGCGGCUUUCUGGACUGUAACUGACGCUGAGGCACGAAAGCGUGGGGAGCAAACAGGAUUAGAUACCCUGGUAGUCCACGCC
Molecule: ribosomal RNA, 700 nt
Filed under: uncultured bacterium
Lineage: Bacteria
Description: bacterial SSU rRNA
Rfam family: Bacterial small subunit ribosomal RNA
Source: RNAcentral